AGAGUUUGAUCCUGGCUCAGGAUGAACGCUAGCUACAGGCUUAACACAUGCAAGUCGAGGGGAAACGAUAGAGAAAGCUUGCUUUUUCUAGGCGUCGACCGGCGCACGGGUGAGUAACGCGUAUCCAACCUGCCCACCACUUGGGGAUAACCUUGCGAAAGUAAGACUAAUACCCAAUGAUAUCUCAAGAAGACAUCUGAAUGAGAUUAAAGAUUUAUCGGUGAUGGAUGGGGAUGCGUCUGAUUAGCUUGUUGGCGGGGUAACGGCCCACCAAGGCGACGAUCAGUAGGGGUUCUGAGAGGAAGGUCCCCCACAUUGGAACUGAGACACGGUCCAAACUCCUACGGGAGGCAGCAGUGAGGAAUAUUGGUCAAUGGGCGAGAGCCUGAACCAGCCAAGUAGCGUGCAGGAUGACGGCCCUAUGGGUUGUAAACUGCUUUUAUAAGGGAAUAAAGUGAGCCUCGUGAGGCUUUUUGCAUGUACCUUAUGAAUAAGGACCGGCUAAUUCCGUGCCAGCAGCCGCGGUAAUACGGAAGGUCCGGGCGUUAUCCGGAUUUAUUGGGUUUAAAGGGAGCGUAGGCCGGAGAUUAAGCGUGUUGUGAAAUGUAGACGCUCAACGUCUGCACUGCAGCGCGAACUGGUUUCCUUGAGUACGCACAAAGUGGGCGGAAUUCGUGGUGUAGCGGUGAAAUGCUUAGAUAUCACGAAGAACUCCGAUUGCGAAGGCAGCUCACUGGAGCGCAACUGACGCUGAAGCUCGAAAGUGCGGGUAUCGAACAGGAUUAGAUACCCUGGUAGUCCGCACGGUAAACGAUGGAUGCCCGCUGUUGGUCUGAAUAGGUCAGCGGCCAAGCGAAAGCAUUAAGCAUCCCACCUGGGGAGUACGCCGGCAACGGUGAAACUCAAAGGAAUUGACGG
This 918-nucleotide ribosomal RNA is filed under the name uncultured bacterium. RNAcentral's name for it is "bacterial SSU rRNA". It matches the Rfam family "Bacterial small subunit ribosomal RNA", at positions 8 to 916 of the family's 1533-position model. The record is from RNAcentral.